Molecule: ribosomal RNA, 443 nt
Filed under: uncultured bacterium
Lineage: Bacteria
Description: partial 16S ribosomal RNA
Rfam family: Bacterial small subunit ribosomal RNA
Source: RNAcentral
CCUACGGGAGGCAGCAGUGGGGAAUAUUGGGCAAUGGGCGCAAGCCUGACCCAGCAACGCCGCGUGAAGGAAGAAGGCUCUCGGGUUGUAAACUUCUUUUCUCAGGGACGAAGCAAGUGACGGUACCUGAGGAAUAAGCAACGGCUAACUACGGGCCAGCAGCCGCGGUAAUACGUAGGUGGCAAGCGUUAUCCGGAUGUACUGGGUGUAAGGCGCGUGUAGGCGGGGACGCAAGUAAGAUGUGAAAACCACGGGCUCAACCUGUGGCAGGCAUUUGAAACUGGGUUUCUUGAGUCCUGGAGAGGCAGACGGAAUUCCUGGUGUAGCGGUGAAAUGCGUAGAUAUUAGGAGGAACACCAGUGGCGAAGGCGGUCUGCUGGACAGCAACUGACGCUGAGGCGCGAAGGCGUGGGGAGCAAACAGGAUUAGAUACCCUAGUAGUC